This is an unclassified non-coding RNA of Pongo abelii (Sumatran orangutan), 148 nucleotides long. It matches the Rfam family "Metazoan signal recognition particle RNA". From Rfam's summary of the family: The signal recognition particle (SRP) is a universally conserved ribonucleoprotein. It is involved in the co-translational targeting of proteins to membranes. The record is from Ensembl. NCBI's taxonomy places the organism in Eukaryota, Metazoa, Chordata, Mammalia, Primates, Hominidae.
GCUGGGCAUGGUGGUGCAUGCCUGUAGUCCUAGCUACUCAGGAAGCAGAGGCAGGAGGAUCGCUGGAGCCUAGGAGUUGGAGGCUUCAGUGAGCUGUGAUUGUGCCACUGCACUCCAGCCUGGGUGACAGAGUGAGACCUUGUCUCUA